UGGCGGACGGGUGAGUAACGCGUAAAGAACUUGCCCUUUAGACUGGGAUAACAGAGGGAAACUUCUGAUAAUACUGGAUAAGUUAGUAUAUCGCAUGAUAUACAAAUGAAAGCUACGGCACUAAAGGAGAGCUUUGCGUCCUAUUAGCUAGUUGGUAAGGUAAGAGCUUACCAAGGCGAUGAUAGGUAGCCGGCCUGAGAGGGUGAACGGCCACAAGGGGACUGAGACACGGCCCUUACUCCUACGGGAGGCAGCAGCG
RNAcentral lists this ribosomal RNA (259 nucleotides) under uncultured Fusobacterium sp. RNAcentral's name for it is "partial 16S ribosomal RNA". It matches the Rfam family "Bacterial small subunit ribosomal RNA", at positions 96 to 356 of the family's 1533-position model. Lineage: Bacteria; Fusobacteriati; Fusobacteriota; Fusobacteriia; Fusobacteriales; Fusobacteriaceae. The record is from RNAcentral.